Long non-coding RNA from Thunnus maccoyii (southern bluefin tuna), 510 nucleotides. RefSeq lists it as uncharacterized. NCBI's taxonomy places the organism in Eukaryota, Metazoa, Chordata, Actinopteri, Scombriformes, Scombridae. The transcript has 3 exons. The record is from RefSeq and is a predicted model, not a curated record.
AAGACAGGCUCCUGGCUCUAGCACCUAUCUGCAAAGAACCUCACACUGAAGUGCAGCCCACUGUGCCACUGCGUGAAAUUACACUAAAAAGCCCAAUUUUUUCCCUCCUCGAGCGCGUUCAUGAGCACGCGUUCACGUUUGGCAGCUCCACGUCGACAUUCUUCCAGCUGCAUAUAGUGAACUGCACAGGACUGGGGGAAGAAAAGACUAUUUGCCCCUCGUGUUGGAUUGCAGCUGGUGCCUUGCGUCUACCUAUAUCAGGUUAAAGGAGCACCCAGUCGUGAGGUGGAUAAGGCUCUGCACAAGGACAAACCUAUGAGGUGGCACUGUGGCUUUCCAAAUAAAGUUCUGUGAUACACUCAGACUCUAAUUGUUUGCAGUCAGUGCAUUACAGAACUUUGUUUUGGGAGUUAAUACUUUGACCAUGUGGGAAAUAAAUCCUCAAGCAUCUGGAUAUUUUAGUUUAUUGCACGGUGCAAUAUUUCUGUUGACUAAUGACUGUUUACUCAA